GUAGGUGGCAAGCGUUGUCCGGAAUUAUUGGGCGUAAAGCGCGCGCAGGCGGUUCUUUAAGUCUGAUGUGAAAGCCCACGGCUCAACCGUGGAGGGUCAUUGGAAACUGGAGAACUUGAGUACAGAAGAGGAAAGCGGAAUUCCACGUGUAGCGGUGAAAUGCGUAGAGAUGUGGAGGAACACCAGUGGCGAAGGCGGCUUUCUGGUCUGUAACUGACGCUGAGGCGCGAAAGCGUGGGGAGCAAACAGGGAUUAGAUACCCUGGUAGUCCACGCCGUAAACGAUGAGUGCUAAGUGUUAGGGGGGUUUCCGCCCCCGUUAGUGCUGCAGCUAACGCAUUAAGCACUCCGCCUGGGGAUACGGCCGCAAGGCUG
RNAcentral lists this ribosomal RNA (374 nucleotides) under uncultured organism. RNAcentral describes it as "partial 16S ribosomal RNA". It matches the Rfam family "Bacterial small subunit ribosomal RNA", at positions 527 to 896 of the family's 1533-position model. The record is from RNAcentral.